AUACGGAGGGUGCGAGCGUUAAUCGGAAUUACUGGGCGUAAAGCGCGCGUAGGCGGUUUGGUCAGUCGGAUGUGAAAGCCCUGGGCUCAACCUGGGAAUGGCAUUCGAUACUGCCUGACUAGAGUAUGGUAGAGGGAAGUGGAAUUUCCGGUGUAGCGGUGAAAUGCGUAGAUAUCGGAAGGAACACCAGUGGCGAAAGCGGUUCUCUGGCCCACCACUGACGCUGAGGAGCGAAAGCUAGGGGAGCAAACAGGAUUAGAUACCCGAGUAGUCC
This 274-nucleotide ribosomal RNA is filed under the name uncultured bacterium. RNAcentral describes it as "partial 16S ribosomal RNA". It matches the Rfam family "Bacterial small subunit ribosomal RNA", at positions 523 to 796 of the family's 1533-position model. The record is from RNAcentral.